AUUGAACGCUGGCGGCAUGCCUUACACAUGCAAGUCGAACGGUAACAGGUCUUCGGAUGCUGACGAGUGGCGAACGGGUGAGUAAUACAUCGGAACGUGCCCGAUCGUGGGAGAUAACGAGGCGAAAGCUUUGCUAAUACCGCAUACGAUCUACGGAUGAAAGCGGGGGAUCUUCGGACCUCGCGCGGACGGAGCGGCCGAUGGCAGAUUAGGUAGUUGGUGGGAUAAAAGCUUACCAAGCCGACGAUCUGUAGCUGGUCUGAGAGGAUGAUCAGCCACACUGGGACUGAGACACGGCCCAGACUCCUACGGGAGGUAGCAGUGGGGAAUUUUGGACAAUGGGCGAAAGCCUGAUCCAGCCAUGCCGCGUGCAGGAUGAAGGCCUUUGGGUUGUAAACUGCUUUUGUACGGAACGAAAAGCCUCUUUCUAAUAAAGAGGGGUCAUGACGGUACCGUAAGAAUAAGCACCGGCUAACUACGUG
This 482-nucleotide ribosomal RNA is filed under the name uncultured bacterium. RNAcentral's name for it is "partial 16S ribosomal RNA". It matches the Rfam family "Bacterial small subunit ribosomal RNA", at positions 30 to 507 of the family's 1533-position model. The record is from RNAcentral.